CACCAAACCCUAAUCCAAAAUCCCUCUCUUCUCUCCCUCUCGACGGAAAUCGCCGCUUCUGUCCGUCGCCGGAGCACCAUAUCCGCCACCUCUGCUCCAUCUCUCUCUCUCUCUUUCUUCCUCGGCCACGCUCACGCCACCGCCACUCUCUCCAGAUCUGCCGCCGCUGCUGUGCAUGUACAGGCGGCGGUUUCGGCCUCCUCCGUGCCUCGGGCCGCCGGAGCAGUUUCCCGGCGCCACUCCAGCCCCGGCCUCUGCCUCCUCGCCAAACUCCGAGAAGGUUGUGAAAUUAGUGACGAAACGGGGUGUGGGGCUGCCACCGCCUCGCCCUGCUCACCGCCUGCGAAGACGGAUUCAGCUCGCCCUCCGUCGUCUCUCUGUCCGUUCUCGCUAGUGCCGUUGCUGCCCCUGUAGCCUCGCCUUCGCGGUGGUCGUCGGGGCAGCCCUUCGGCUUUACAGCUAAGUUCUCUUGCCCCUCUCAUUACUUAGAGCAUUCUUAUGAAAUUUGGGUAGUAGUCAUAUGGUGUUGAAGGUCUUGACUAUGUGUGCUUAAGCUUGAUCUUCCUUGGGUAGUAGUCAUGAUAAACUGUUACUGAUCUUGGCUAAAGCAGCUUAUGAUAUUUCUUGUUACAGAUUGUAUGAUGUGGAAAUCCUAAUGUUCUAAGUUCUUGAGCUUUAAACAUGAUUUUCUAUACUUGCUAGAGGUCUCUAUUGCCAUGAUUCUAUAAUUAUACUACAUCUUUUAUCAGCUAACAGCCCAGGUUUAAGAUACGUGCUUUAACAUGCGUUGGGUUGAUUUCUACAUGGUUGAUAUGCAAAUUUGAUUGGGAGAAGGGUUAGAGGUGGAAUACCUCUUGAAGCUGCGGCUGCCUUGAGGAAAUCAGCUCUUAAAACCUCAGUUUUCUUCCUCUCGAACUUGCUACUGCUUGUUCUUCGUUCUCACUAGAGUUGCUAAAAUUUGAGAUGUGUAGGAGGAUGUUUAAAGGUGGUGUGGAGGGGAUUUUAUAGGCUGGGCUUUGGCGUACUAUGGGGGAAUUAAAUGGGGCUGAUCUCUCUUGUCUUCAUAUCACAACAUAUCUCUCUUUUUCUGAUCAUGCAGCCCCUUUGUCUUAAUGUAGUUUGUUGGCUAGUUUGGGUACUUGGUACUUGGUGAAUAAAUCCCAUUGUUUGAUUGUGGCUAGGUAUAACAGGUGCUGCAUUAGUGAAGGGCUUUGCAGGCUGGACUUGCCCCCUUUUUGGGUAAGUCCUUGGUCUUCAUAGGAAAAGAAAGGUGAGAGAGGAAUCUUAGCUCCCACCUAGCUGCACUUCGAGCGGGCCUGGAUUUGAUGUCUGGGCCGACGGGCUGCCCGAAACGGGCCCUAAAUUGGGCCUGGAGAAAAGGCCCGAAAUGCACUCCACAAUUUAUAUUUUCCUUUCCUUGUUUUCUUUCUUUAAGGACUUUGAUCCAUGUAACCUAUUCCAUUAGUUGUUCAUUUUGUUG
Long non-coding RNA from Salvia hispanica, 1480 nucleotides. RefSeq lists it as uncharacterized. NCBI's taxonomy places the organism in Eukaryota, Viridiplantae, Streptophyta, Magnoliopsida, Lamiales, Lamiaceae. The record is from RefSeq and is a predicted model, not a curated record.